GCGCCCGUAGCUCAGUUGGAUAGAGCAACGGCCUUCUAAGCCGUGGGUCGCAGGUUCGAGUCCUGCCGGGCGCGCCA
This 77-nucleotide transfer RNA is filed under the name Thiocystis violacea. RNAcentral describes it as "tRNA-Arg". It matches the Rfam family "tRNA". From Rfam's summary of the family: Transfer RNA (tRNA) molecules are approximately 80 nucleotides in length. RNAcentral also lists the same sequence under 4 other names. The record is from RNAcentral. Lineage: Bacteria; Pseudomonadati; Pseudomonadota; Gammaproteobacteria; Chromatiales; Chromatiaceae.